This is a long non-coding RNA of Aethalodelphis obliquidens (Pacific white-sided dolphin), 3083 nucleotides long. RefSeq lists it as uncharacterized. The record is from RefSeq and is a predicted model, not a curated record. Lineage: Eukaryota; Metazoa; Chordata; Mammalia; Artiodactyla; Delphinidae. The transcript is spliced from 3 exons.
GCCCGACCUGCAGCCGGGCCGGAGGUGAUGCCUGGAGGCCGGCGGAGGCCCGGGGGCCUCGGACUCGUCAACACCACGGCCUCGCGCUCCGCCUCUGGGACGCGCCCUUCCGCCUCACGGCCGACGCUUUACCCCGGCGCCGCCGCCCUGACGCCCGCCCGGUCUCGGCCCCCGGCGAUCCCGCCCGGGCCGCCCCGCUCCCGCCGGUCCUCGUCUGCCCACCCUCCCCAGCCUCCACCCCCUGCCCUGACCGUUGCGGCAGAUGGCGGGCUGCGGGCAGAGCGGGCUGUUGCAGGGCACGCUGGGCCGCAGUGUUGAGUAUCUCAAGUAAUUUAUUGAACACUGCUGAAAGUGAAAAACAGAAUGGUUGCAAGCGUAUCGGUUGUUCACCCUGUGCUGUCUGGGAGCUGGGACUUGCCCGCCUGCUCAGCGUCACGCAAGAGUAACGCUAGACCGGAAAAGAUAAAAAUUCCAGGCAAGGAGACCAAAGUACAGGAGGACUGAAUAAUUGCCCCAGGCCACACACUCAAGCAAGACUUGGAACCCAAGCAGUUUGGUUACAGAGUCCAGGCAGUGAUGACCCAGCCAUGGCACCUUUCAGCUGGUAAACAGCCAGGUACAGAAUGGGGUACAUUCUUCGUAGCGGACCAUUGGAUAAACUCAGUUAUUUUAGUUUAGGGAAUUGGAAACAAUGGGUUUCAAAUAUUGACCCUACUACUUUCCUAACUUCCCUGGGCCUUAGUGAUUUCAAUUAUAAAAUACAGCUAGCAAAACAGAUGUUGCUGAGUAUCAGUAUUAACGCGUCAAUGACUCUAAAGGGUCAUGUAAAUGUCUAAUAUUAUCCCAUUUAGCUGAAGAAUCAGCUUACUUUCAUUUGUGCUCCAUCUCAGUGGAAGAGUCAUUGGAGGACAAACUGCUGCUGAGAUUGCUCUGCUACUUGUGUUAGGGAUAAUUUAAUUUCCUAUCUGUUAAAGGCUGUUAAUCCUUGAUUUUCACUUUUCUCAGCAGAUACAAUGACUCCCUUUUGGCUUUCUAAACACCCUGUGAAUCCCCAUAAUCCACUUUGCAAUGAUUACUCUAAAAUGUUCUGCUUAACUCUUUCUAAUUUUUUAAAAGAGAAAAUUAUUUUGUGCUUACCAAUUGUAUCUCGCCAAGAUAAAAAAUUUUUACUGUACUGUUAACGUACCGAUAAUUUUGCCCUUCUACCACAAAGGGGCGCUGUUUCAUUGAUUUUUGUUUGCGGGGAGGGUGCUUCAGCUAAAGUACCUUCUGCGCUGGUAUCUGAGCUGUUGAAAUUUGGCCUUUCAUAUGUUGCCAUUAAAAUGCAACCAGUUAUUUGAGACAAGAAACAAACCAGCAAAUAACCUUAACAUUAAACUAUACCUUCAUCCAAGGAGCUCAAAGAUCCAGAUGCUCCAAAAUUAAUUAGAAACUAAGCUUCAAUGAUUAAUACAGAAAAGAAAAAGAAAAUCCGUUAAGUCUUGAAGCAGACUAAAAGAAAAUUCAGUUAUGUGGAUAGCCAUUUAUAAUUCAAAUAUAGAAACGUUACUAUCUGUCAUUUUAAUUUUUUUGUAUUGGUGUUAUUUGAUGAAAUUGUUUUCAUUCAUCUGGUAGGAUUAUUAUUACCAGUGAAAUACCAGUCAUGGUGAAGAGUUAUUUCAUUGGAUGAAUGUAUUACAAGGAGUUUUCCUGUUUAGUUUACUAUUUUGUUACUGCGUAUGUUUGAAUUUGAGAAAGUGAAUUCCAUUUUAUAUCUUACAAUGAUAAACUUUGAAUUCUAAAACCUAAUAAUUACGGUAGAAAUGUUGUGAAAAAAAAUGGAAAAGAGAAUAAGGAGUACUUAGUAAUAAUCCUAACCUCUAGGAAAUCCUCCAGGUUUUGGAUAACUAUAAACAAAGUAUUAGAUUUUAAACCUUAAAUUUAGUUACUUAAUAAUCAAAAGGCAUGUUAAACUACACAUUUGUUAUCUUGUUCUAAAGGAAGAAGAAUGAGGGCCGAAAGUUAAAAUUACAUUAUACUUAACUUUCUUUACAUUUUAGGCCAGAGCAAGGCCUAUUUCUGUUCGUAUUAGGUUUCUUUUGCUGCAUAACGAAUUACCAUAAACUUAGCAGCUUCAAACACUCAUUCAUUACCUCAGUUUCUGGAGUCAGAAGCCGGGGCAUGGCCGCAUUAGGUUCUUGGCUCAGGGUCUCACAAGACAGAAAUCAAUGUGUCAGCUGGGCUGAUGCCCUUCUAAAGCUUGGGGUCUUCUUUCAAGCUCACAUAGUUGUUGGCAGAAUUCAGUUCCUUGCAGCUGUAGGGCCCUGGCUCCUCUUCUCUUGCUGGAUAUUAGGCAGGGCUCUAAAGAUGGGCUGGAUGUUAGGAGGCCACCCACAGUUCCUUGCCAUGUGGCCCCUCCAUAGGCCCUUUCACACUUCAAAAUCUCUUUCACCUGGAGAACCCAGUUCCUUUAAGGGCCACUGAGGAUAAUCUUCUAUUUUAAGGUCAACAGAUGUGAGAAUUUAAUUGCAUUUGCAGAAUCCCUUCACAGCAGCACCUAGGUCAGUGUUUAACUGAGUAACCUGGGGAAGGUGUGUGUACACUGGGGCACAGGAAUCCUGAGACCAUCUUAGAAUCCUGCCUACCUUUAUUAGUCUGUUCAGGCUGGUAUAACAAAAUACUACAGACUGGGUAGUCUAUAAAAAACAGAAAUUUAUUUCUCACAGUUCUGGAGUCUGGAAGUUGGAGAUCAUGGUGGCAACAUAGUUGGGUGAGGGUCCUCUUCUGGGUUUCAGAUUUCUUAUUGAAUCCUCAUAUGGCAGAAAGGGCUAGGGGUCUCUCUGGAGCCUCUUUUGUAAGGCACUAAUUCCAUUCAUGAGGGUUCCACCUCAUGAUUUAAGCAACUCCCAAAGGUCCCACCUACUAAUACUAUCACCUUUGGGGGUUAGGAUUGCAACAUAUGAAUUUUGGGGGGACACAAACACUCAGACCAUAGCACUACCAUAAUAACGCUUUAUAACAAACAUUUGAACUCAAUAAGUUAUAUUUAAAAUGAUGGUAUUUAUUAAGUAUCUGAGAGCAGCAUAAAUGACUUUAAAAAAAAA